UUUUCAUUGUCAUUCCAGGUAGACAUAAAAAAUUUAAAGUAUGCACAAAGCCUGAAAGUGUCAAAUAUGGAACUUAAAAAAACCUGCCUUUGCCACUGACUGUAUAAAGGUUUUUUAAGGUCUGCUUGUCAAGCGUCAAGUCAGGUUAUCUUGCUACUGGUACCAUGUAGUACAUCCUGCUUAAGCAGGUUGUACGCCAUUCAUACAUUGUUUAGGAAUAUGUUUGUAAAAUAUUGCUGCAAAUCUUUUUGAGAGAGCCAUUUCUAUGGAGAACCAUCUAAACCAUACAAGUGUGGAAACAUGGAUGUAAAC
This is a non-coding RNA of Hydra vulgaris (swiftwater hydra), 312 nucleotides long. The record is from RefSeq and is a predicted model, not a curated record. NCBI's taxonomy places the organism in Eukaryota, Metazoa, Cnidaria, Hydrozoa, Anthoathecata, Hydridae.